Molecule: long non-coding RNA, 808 nt
Filed under: Ananas comosus (pineapple)
Lineage: Eukaryota; Viridiplantae; Streptophyta; Magnoliopsida; Poales; Bromeliaceae
Description: long non-coding RNA (ACOM_LNC017480)
Source: RNAcentral
AACGACAGAAGAACAGGAAGGAACGGAUCGUUCCGGUCAAAGCGGGUUAUUCUGAGUUGUUCUGAAACAAUCUGUUAAAAAUUGUUCCUUGAAAAACUGAGAACAAUUUUGUUCUUCUAUUUAUUUUAUUAGAUAAAUAGAUAUAUAAAUAUAAAUAAAUAUAUUAAUAUAAAUAUUAUUUUUAUCAUAAUAUAUUUCGACUUAAAUUUUAUUAUAUAAUAAAAAUUAAUUAAAUUUGAUAUAUUAUUUAUUUUAUUAAGUUUUAUUAUUUAUAUAUUAAUAUUUAAUUAUUUUAUUUUAUAUUAAGUAUUAUAUAUAAUAAUUAUUUUUUCAUGCAUUAUAUAUUUUUUAAGUUUGUAUUGAAAUUUACACUAUUAUUAAUUAAAAUAAUAAGGAUAUCAUUACAUAUAUUAUGAAUAAAUUAUAUAAAAUAAAUUAUUAUUAUAUAUAGUAAAAUAAAUAUACUAUUUGAAAUUAAAUUGUUACAUAAAAUAUUAUAUUAUAAAUUACUAUAGAAAUAAUUUUAUAAAUAAUUGUAUAUAAAAUACACUUAUAUAAACUAAUUAUUUUAUUUUUAAAAACAUAUUUAAAUAUUGUUCUACACUUUUUAUCCAAAUGCUACUAAGGAUAUCUUCUAGAAUAUCCCCAAAUGCAUGCAAACAUAAAUUUACAAUUAUUCUAUAUUAUACCGAAAUAUUUUCUAUUCUCGGAAACAAUAAAAAUUGUUCUUCAAAAUUUAGUUCUCCAACCAAAUGCAGCCUUCAAGUUUAUUGAUUUGCUAAAGUAAAUUAAUUACAUGCGACUCUAC